Molecule: small RNA, 622 nt
Filed under: Pontibacillus chungwhensis BH030062
Lineage: Bacteria; Bacillati; Bacillota; Bacilli; Caryophanales; Bacillaceae
Source: RNAcentral
UAGUAUUACAAACAGGAUGGUGCAGUAUUCUAGUCGGCCCUCCGUUCCUGAAGGCGGGCCUAAAAAUCCGCCAAAGGGCACAUCGAUGAAGUUCCUUGUGUUGGCUUGAGGCGCCCAGCCUUGGGUCGAUGCUGGGAGUUAAGGUUGCGGGGCGAUCCACAAUGGCAUGUGGGCGUUGACCCUGCUUCCGCGGAGGCCCAUAUUUGUAGGAGGCUGUUCUCAAACGUCUGCUAUGAAAUGGGGUAUGAACCUGUGAGAUUGUUUUGGGAAGAACGGUCCACAGCGUAGCCUGCCUUGAGUGGCUCUGAGGGGAUUAUGGCUUUUGAGCGAGAGAUAGAUGGCCACUAUUCGAUCGCUUACCCGACCAUAUGAAAUCAGCGCUGCAAAAGAGGCUAAGGAACGGCUAAAGGCUGCUGAGGAAAUCUCCUAGACUGUUCCAUGACACCUAAAAGGGAUUAUAGUGCGGACUAAGUGGCAAUCCAGUCUAGUAACCGGUGACGGUGCUAAGGCGAGUUUAAAGGGGAACCGCCGAUGUGGCAACACAUGGUAUUCGCUUGGGAAAACCUACUGGACCUAAGCCGCAGUUUUUAUCUUUUAGGUGACCAUCCUGACUUUCAUACAU